This 218-nucleotide long non-coding RNA is filed under the name Zostera marina. RNAcentral's name for it is "long non-coding RNA (ZMAR_LNC001533)". Lineage: Eukaryota; Viridiplantae; Streptophyta; Magnoliopsida; Alismatales; Zosteraceae. The record is from RNAcentral.
GGUUAUGGAGUGGUGUGCUCCUCUUGUGGCGUAGUUUGUAGAGGCGUCGUAGUUUCUUGCGUUGGUAGUUGAGUAGGCGGUGCGGCUCUAGAAGAUGACGCUCCAGAAGUAUAAAUGUUCUGCGCUGCAUCGUUGUUGAAGAUUGGCGGAAACUCCGGUAAGCGCAAGUUCGGAUUUUGAGCGAGCAUUGCUUUGUUGUAUUGUUGGAAAAACGUCAU